RNAcentral lists this ribosomal RNA (448 nucleotides) under uncultured bacterium. Its description in RNAcentral is "bacterial SSU rRNA". It matches the Rfam family "Bacterial small subunit ribosomal RNA", at positions 29 to 524 of the family's 1533-position model. The record is from RNAcentral.
AACGAACGCUGGCGGCAUGCCUAACACAUGCAAGUCGAACGAGACCUUCGGGUCUAGUGGCGCACGGGUGCGUAACGCGUGGGAAUCUGCCCUUGGGUACGGAAUAACAGUUAGAAAUGACUGCUAAUACCGUAUAAUGACUUCGGUCCAAAGAUUUAUCGCCCAGGGAUGAGCCCGCGUAGGAUUAGCUUGUUGGUGAGGUAAAAGCUCACCAAGGCGACGAUCCUUAGCUGGCUGAGAGGAUGAUCAGCCACACUGGGACUGAGACACGGCCCAGACUCCUACGGGAGGCAGCAGUGGGGAAUAUUGGACAAUGGGCGAAAGCCUGAUCCAGCAAUGCCGCGUGAGUGAUGAAGGCCUUAGGUUGUAAAGCUCUUUUACCCGGGAAGAUAAUGACUGUACCGGGAGAAUAAGCCCCGGCUAACUCCGUGCCAGCAGCCGCAGUAAG